Molecule: ribosomal RNA, 482 nt
Filed under: uncultured bacterium
Lineage: Bacteria
Description: partial 16S ribosomal RNA
Rfam family: Bacterial small subunit ribosomal RNA
Source: RNAcentral
AUUGAACGCUGGCGGCAUGCUUUACACAUGCAAGUCGAACGGUAACAGGCCGCAAGGUGCUGACGAGUGGCGAACGGGUGAGUAAUGCAUCGGAACGUGCCCAGUCGUGGGGGAUAACUACUCGAAAGAGUAGCUAAUACCGCAUACGAUCUAUGGAUGAAAGCGGGGGACCGUAAGGCCUCGCGCGAUUGGAGCGGCCGAUGUCAGAUUAGGUAGUUGGUGGGGUAAAGGCUCACCAAGCCAACGAUCUGUAGCUGGUCUGAGAGGACGACCAGCCACACUGGGACUGAGACACGGCCCAGACUCCUACGGGAGGCAGCAGUGGGGAAUUUUGGACAACGGGCGCAAGCCUGAUCCAGCAAUGCCGCGUGCAGGAAGAAGGCCUUCGGGUUGUAAACUGCUUUUGUACGGAACGAAACGGCUCUGGUUAAUACCCGGGGCUAAUGACGGUACCGUAAGAAUAAGCACCGGCUAACUACGUG